GACGAACGCUGGCGGCGUGCUUAACACAUGCAAGUCGAACGGUAAGGCCCUUCGGGGUACACGAGUGGCGAACGGGUGAGUAACACGUGGGUGAUCUGCCCUGCACUUCGGGAUAAGCCUGGGAAACUGGGUCUAAUACCGGAUAGGACUCCUGGCUUCAUGGUUGGGGGUGGAAAGCUUUUGCGGUGUGGGAUGGGCCCGCGGCCUAUCAGCUUGUUGGUGGGGUAAUGGCCUACCAAGGCGACGACGGGUAGCCGGCCUGGGAGGGUGACCGGUCACACUGCGACUGAGAUACGGCCCAGACUCAUACGGGAGGCAGCAGUGGGGAAUAUUGCACAAUGGGCGCAAGCCUGAUGCAGCGACGCCGCGUGAGGGAUGACGGCCUUCGGGUUGUAAACCUCUUUCAGCUAUGACGAAGCGCAAGUGACGGUAGUAGCAGAAGAAGGACCGGCCAACUACGUGCCAGCCGCCGCAGUAA
Molecule: ribosomal RNA, 478 nt
Filed under: uncultured bacterium
Lineage: Bacteria
Description: partial 16S ribosomal RNA
Rfam family: Bacterial small subunit ribosomal RNA
Source: RNAcentral